GACCAGGACUCCUUAAAUAGGGUAUGAGCAAAAUAUUGCUCAAAGAGGGGAAAAUGAAGGAAUUGAAACAGUUAAUCUGUUAGUAUUCUAUAAGGUGAAUUAUUUUGUAAAUGUAGUAGCAAGCUCUUUUGCAGAACCGCUUACAAAACAUAACUGAAAGGAAGUCACAAGCUAUGACAGUUUUUACGUAUCAGGAGAUGCUUAACCACAAU
This is a non-coding RNA of Pelobates cultripes (western spadefoot toad), 212 nucleotides long. The record is from the annotation of a GenBank genome assembly. NCBI's taxonomy places the organism in Eukaryota, Metazoa, Chordata, Amphibia, Anura, Pelobatidae.